This 1436-nucleotide long non-coding RNA is filed under the name Polistes fuscatus (common paper wasp). RNAcentral's name for it is "uncharacterized LOC122520971, transcript variant X2". Lineage: Eukaryota; Metazoa; Arthropoda; Insecta; Hymenoptera; Vespidae. The record is from RNAcentral.
CUCUCGUCAUAGCUUUUACUUUUGAUCUCCUUUUUUUUCCCCUUAAGACGUUUCAACGAUCUUUCCUGUCACUAAUUAAACGAAUAACGUUACUUGACUUUUCUAUCGAACGAUAAAAGUACUCGUGUCUUUCAUAAAUUUCUAGAAAUAUUUCUCAAUGUUCACGUUGAAAUUUAAAAUUGAUCUGAAAAGCAUACAAUGAUGAUAAUAAUCCUUCGUUGUAAAAUUUGGGACUAAACUGGAUAGAAAAUAUUUCCUAGAACUUUGAAUUCCAGAUCGUUCGUUCGUGUGUUUGUUGUUGAUAGGAAAAAACGAUCGCGUCCAGCGUACCAGGCGAGUUUCCAUGACCAGGCUAUCAUCCGGAAACGUUAGAAUCACGAUGUUAAAUCCUGUUUACUACACCGUACGUCGACAAAUUUCCGAGACUUAUUUUAUUUCUUGGCGUAUAAGCUACGUCAGCACAGCAACUACGGUGGCAGCAUGAACUAACAAAUAUAAACAACAAAUGUGCAUUCGACUAGUCAGUUGUGAUCAGGCAGUGUUAAGUAAUGGACGUGCGGCCAUAGUGUGUCAACGUUGUUGUUGUGUCACGAAACGAAGGAAGGGAUUUCUUUUUGCUUCAAAACAAUGCGUCCAAUCAUGCGGUUGCAAUUGCAUCGUAGUUUCCAACGAAAUUUCUCAACCACCCUAUAUGGUGUACGUUACAGAAUUCCGGUGGUUCCUUGACGACGACCCGUUGUUGGAUGUUUGUUGAAUAGAAAUAGAGAAAUAUAGAAGAAAUAUGCAGGAAUGUAAUCGUAUCACACCGAUCGAGAGUUUAAUUUUAAACGAGUCAAUAACAUCAAAAGCUUGGACUAUCCGGCUAGCAGACGAGAACGGAGGGAGAUCGUAGGUACGAGAUAUGGUAAACUGAAAAGCGUGAAAUCGAUUCUACUCACAGCAGUCGAGUCUUUUCUACCUAGAUCCGUCCUAGAUAAACGCGUCUAAGAUAAAUUCUAGUCGUGGCACCAGGCCAUCAGAAGCAGUAUGGACUCGAACGAGUUCUGGAUGUUCUCGUUCGUUGAUGGUGUGCAAACUGGUUCCACGAGCAUCAGGCUGGUACUUCGUCGCGAGAGCUUUCCUAUCGACUGGGAGAGAGAAACCCCACCUAGCUAGACGGUCAUAGGCACGGAAAGUUCAUAGUGGGGAUUAUACUAAAUAUUCUCGGUGGGGGUGGUUUCAUCGUCUGGCCACCUCCACUGAGACUUCCGUGCCACCAGGAUGACAGUCAAAGGUAGAGGCUUAUUGUGUUACCAUAUUUUAUCAAUGCGAUACCCUCGUAUUGCUAAGACAGAUGAUAGAAUAUAAACUAAUUUUUCUAUAUAAUUUUUUUAUUAAACAAAUUGAUAGCAACACCUUUCUAUGAUCAAUAAUAACAGAUGUAUGAUAAGACGAAA